Molecule: ribosomal RNA, 253 nt
Filed under: uncultured bacterium
Lineage: Bacteria
Description: partial 16S ribosomal RNA
Rfam family: Bacterial small subunit ribosomal RNA
Source: RNAcentral
UACGGAGGGUGCGAGCGUUGUUCGGAAUCAUUGGGCGUAAAGCGCGUGUAGGCGGCUUGGCAAGUCGGUUGUGAAAUCCCGGGGCCCAACCCCGGAACUGCAAUCGAAACUGCCUCGCUAGAGUCCCGGAGAGGAAGGCGGAAUUCCCGGUGUAGAGGUGAAAUUCGUAGAGAUCGGGAGGAACACCAGUGGCGAAGGCGGCCUUCUGGACGGUGACUGACGCUGAGACGCGAAAGAGUGGGGAGCAAACAGG